This 108-nucleotide ribosomal RNA is filed under the name Candidatus Kaiserbacteria bacterium. The record is from RNAcentral. Lineage: Bacteria; Candidatus Kaiseribacteriota.
GUUGGUGAUUUGUCGGAAGGGGUAUACCCGUUCUCAUUCCGAACACGGAAGUCAAGCCUUCUUGAACCGAUGGUACUCCGCAAGGGGGAGAGUAGGUAGUCGCCAACA